Molecule: long non-coding RNA, 2033 nt
Filed under: Homo sapiens (human)
Lineage: Eukaryota; Metazoa; Chordata; Mammalia; Primates; Hominidae
Description: non-protein coding lnc-SLC7A14-3:12
Source: RNAcentral
AGUAUGAUGUUAGCUGUGGGUUUGUCGUAUGUGGCAUUUAUUAUGUUAAGGUAUGUUUCUUUUAUGCUCAGUUUGCUGAGAGUUUUUAUCAUAAGGGAUGUUAAAUUUUAUCAAAUGCUUCUUCUACAUCUAUUAAGAUGGUCCUGUGGUUUAGUUGUUCAUUCUAUUGAUAUGAUAUAUCACAUUUGUUGAUUUCUAUGUGUUGAACCAUCCGUGUAUCCCUUGUAUAAAUCUCAUUUGACCAUGUUGUAUUAUUGUUUUAUAUGCUGUUGGAUUCAGUUUGCUGGUAUUUUGUUAGAGGAUUUUUGGGUCUAUGUUCAUCAGAGAUUUGGGUCUGUAAUUUGUUUUUUUGUUGUUGCAUCCUUGUCUGUUUUCGGAAUAAGGAUAAUGCUGGCCUCAUAGAAUGAGUUAGGGAGAAUUCCCUUCCCUUUAAUUUGUUUAAAUAGUUUGAAGAAAAUUAGUGUUAGUUCUUUAUACAUUUGGUAGAAUUUAGUAGGGGAGCCAUCCAGUUUGGGACUUUUCUUUGUUGGGAGACUUUAUUACUGAUUCAAUCUCACUACCUGUUACUGGAUACCUGGGCUUCUUAAGCUGCUUCACCAUCUCUUCCUGCCUCCUUCCUGUCUCCUCUUUUACUUCUUCUUCUUCUUUUUUUCUCACCACUUGGUAAAGUGGCUGGUAUGGCACCAAUAGGACACAAAGAUGCUAUUUUAGAAUAACAUACGGAGACUAAUAUACUUUACCUAGCCUUGCAAGAUUACUGGCUCAGGAGAAGCCACACCAGGGUUCCCCACUUCUCCCCUGUGUUUAUGCAGAUGGGAUGCGAGCCACUUGCAGGCCUGGCCUAUAAAAGAUUCCCAUACAUGCUUUCCAUUCUCAGCUCCCUUUCCAACUGACUGGGAUCUCAAUGCCCAUGGAGCCCUUGGAGGCCACAUACUGAACACAGACAAGUCUCCUUCAGUCAGAGUCUCUGAAAGACCGUGUCAGGGAGAGCUGCUCCACCAACCUUGUAGCAAAAAAUGUGUUUUUAUUAUGUUAAGCCACUAGAAUUUUGAGGUCUAUUUGUUUCUACAAGUUAAUGCAAUCCACUUAGCAGAUGGCUGCAUGGCCCAUAAAAGAGAUGAUGAGGAUUUGGUUCAGGGAUGAGGCCACAGGGAAUAAAAAUGCAAAGAUAAACUGUGGCUCAAGCCAUACAAGCUUUCCUCACAUUGCUCAGAGGAAUGGAGAGGAGUUAAAGGAGUCCAUUGGAGUUGAAUGAAAGCUCUACUGCCUGGAAGGAACUCCUGCAAGCAGGUAGCCAAAUAGAUGAUGAAGCUGAUGGUGGAGGUGUCAGUCAGGAAAAGUAGUAGCCAUGGCAACAGACUUGGUAGAAAGGCCACCAAGAGGCAGUACAGAGCAAUUUGGCCGGGACAAAACAGCAGGAAGAUAUCAAUAACAGAGAUGGAAACUGUUGGGACUCGGGAAGGCAGAGGUGGAGGCCCUGGGUUUAGCUCAGGGGGUUUGUGCUGUCUUUCUCCUUGCCUCGCUCUCCCUGCCAUAACACACUGAAGAGAGUGUUCAGAAGCCCAAGCUACAGAGGGAGAGAGGAGGAUGAAUAGGUCUGGAAGAAGGAAUUUGCUUGAGUUCUUUCCUCUUCCACUUUUCCUGUCCUUUUCUUCAACACUUAUCACAGAUCCUCCCUGGUUGCUUCCAAGCAGAAUAGAGCCCAGGCUGCCAUGCUAAACACGACUAAAACAUUCCAGAGAUGUCAUCAAGCCCCAAACACUUGCUAGCAACACAUUUUAAGAGUGUAUGUGGUAUGGGGGCGGAGUAAAAGAAUUUAUUAGGGGGAUAACUAAUGAUUUUGGCGGGUCUCAAAGAUAAUUGUUUUGAGCUGUUAUUUAUCCUGUUUUACCUCUGCCCGCCUUUUCCCAUCCUACCCCAAUUCUCAAAUCCUUUACUAAGUGUUUAAGAGAUGCAAAUGCCCUUCCCCCCUUCCCUAUCCUGCUUUCUUUUGCUGUCAGAGUCUCUAUUUUUACUUCUAUUUUUUCCCCCAG